AUGGAGAUGGAUUAUCUGGAGAUGAUGCAACUGUGGAACAUUCGUCACAAUUCUCGUUCAAUUGUGGCCCCUAUCUUACUUGAAAUUGGAGAGCUAGUUAGAGAUUUCCCGUUAUUUGAUGUACUUCAUGCAAAUCAGUCGGCAAACGUUCCUGCAUAUCUGUGUGCCAAGCAUGCUUGCAUGCUGAAUGUAACCGAGUGCUGGCUCGAUGAAACACCUAGCUUCCUGUCUGCUGGCUGA
Molecule: ribosomal RNA, 240 nt
Filed under: Triticum aestivum (bread wheat)
Lineage: Eukaryota; Viridiplantae; Streptophyta; Magnoliopsida; Poales; Poaceae
Description: partial small subunit ribosomal RNA
Source: RNAcentral